GGCCGCUAAAGUCCGACCCCCACCUCCUCGUGGUACCGGCCGGGUGCAGCGUAGUCUCACAAGUCUGGCUAACUUGUGAGUGCAGCUAACGGGGGCGG
Molecule: non-coding RNA, 98 nt
Organism: Anopheles dirus
Lineage: Eukaryota; Metazoa; Arthropoda; Insecta; Diptera; Culicidae
Source: Rfam